Molecule: transfer RNA, 76 nt
Filed under: Caudoviricetes sp.
Lineage: Duplodnaviria; Heunggongvirae; Uroviricota; Caudoviricetes
Description: tRNA-Pro
Rfam family: tRNA
About the family: Transfer RNA (tRNA) molecules are approximately 80 nucleotides in length. Their secondary structure includes four short double-helical elements and three loops (D, anti-codon, and T loops). Further hydrogen bonds mediate the characteristic L-shaped molecular structure. tRNAs have two regions of fundamental functional importance: the anti-codon, which is responsible for specific mRNA codon recognition, and the 3' end, to which the tRNAs corresponding amino acid is attached (by aminoacyl-tRNA synthetases). tRNAs cope with the degeneracy of the genetic code in two manners: having more than one tRNA (with a specific anti-codon) for a particular amino acid; and 'wobble' base-pairing, i.e. permitting non-standard base-pairing at the 3rd anti-codon position.
Source: RNAcentral
CGGGGAGUAAGUCAAUUGUUAGACGGCAACAUUUGGGGUGUUGAGGCUGUGGGUUAGAGUCCCGCCUCUCCGACCA